CUAAUGGAUUAAAAUCCCCACAAACAAACACAAAAGACAGCUUUGGGAUUCCAAAAGACGGAUUGCCAACUGUGCAUUUGUUCCAUGUGUCUUCGUUGCCCCGUAUUUUCAUUUUCGCCCCCCUUUUAAAAGAGGAGAAACCCAAAUCUUGCGUAAUGGUCAUCAGACACCACCUUCAAAUUAUUCAACACUGUGUCACACUAACCCUAGCUGUCACCAACGAGCACCACUACAACGCUUACUAAGCAACACCACCCAAUACCGUGUUACAUUCUCUUAUUAGAAAGAAGAAAUGAGUUGGAGGGGUCAUCGCUCCGUCAUCACAACCGAUACAACCUGACGGGCACUGACCGCGAACCACAUCAGGACCAUCGUGCAUCGAGCCUGAUACCGCCCCUAACUACCGGGAAUAACCACAACCGAACAUCUUCUUCUUUGAGACGGCAACGAACAUCGUCACCGAACUGCCAUCGGGCCACACCCUCACUUUACCUUCGUAGCCAUAUAUACCAGUUCCAUCACCUUCUUGCUUGAAACCUGAGACCUGCAUUACCGAGAAUCACAACCGCCUCCAUUGUAAACAACCCUUCCUUACCUUAAACCGCCGUUUUAAUUACAUCUCGACCACCAGCCACCUCUUCGUCUUCACCGCAUAUCACUAUGGCUUUUAUUUUUGUUGGUAGUAAUCAUCCAUAAACGCUAUUUUUACCGAGAGCAGAAGAAGAAAAAAUAGAGAAAGAAAAGAGGCGCACAUGUUUGUGUAGAUGCACCUGAGAAAUUCACAUAGGGCACACAUAUACAUUCUAAGUUAAGUUGGGAUAGAUUAAAGUUCAACUGGGCUAAAUCAAUUGGAUUUUAUUGGAGAUAUAACAGAUAUGUGGUUAGAUAUAUACUAUUUUCUUUAGUUUUAAUUCCAUGGCUUGAGUUCCAAAAAAAAUCAAAGAACGGUGUUGUAUGUUUUUAGUCCAUUUUAAAUUUUGUUAUAAAUCUUUAAUGGGUAAUUUGUAUUA
This is a long non-coding RNA of Lactuca sativa (garden lettuce), 1010 nucleotides long. RefSeq lists it as uncharacterized. Lineage: Eukaryota; Viridiplantae; Streptophyta; Magnoliopsida; Asterales; Asteraceae. The record is from RefSeq and is a predicted model, not a curated record.